GCGGGAGGGCACCCUUCAUAGCCCCUCCCCUUCACGCCUCCUCCCCAGCCUCUCAUCCCCUGAUAAUCGAUGUCCUGCACCGUUCUGCUUUGGGGACAACCUCCAUGAACAUCCUCAGGUUGCUGGUAUGAAGAAUAGGUGGUUGGCUAGGAUUAGUAUUUAUGACUGUGAAUCUUCCUUUGAUGGAUCACGUAUAGGCCUGUACCAAAGGCUAGCUCCUGCGCUGGAGAGGUGAGCCGAGAGUCUGCUUUGCUUGGCAAAUCAGCCGGUCCUAACGAAAUAUCAAUCCUGUCUAGCAUGUGGGCAUCAAUUGAUGCCAUCUUGAACACUACACUACAUCAUCCACACUGUCUCUCAAAAUGAACGACAUUAUAUGUUUAAGUGCUCUGCUACCCACCCUGAAGUCUGACACCAGGGUCCUUGGACUUGGGUUAAAACAUCAGCAUGUUAAAAAUAGAGAAAUAAGUGUGUUUAUUUUUUAAAAAGCAUUGAGACUGCAGUCAAUGGGCCUAAUCUUCCAUCCAUUGGUGCCACUGAUUUCAGAUGGAGCAGGUCGUAUGGAAUUUCUGCUCCAGAUUCUAUGGGAACUUGGGGAAAGGCUGCAGGACUUUUUAAAAACAAAUUAACUCAAAAACAUAUUAAAAUCACUACCUUAUGCUUUAUAAAGAACUAUUUGUAUCCUAAGGCCUUGAUCUGGCAAAAACUUAAUAACGAGUAGCUUUAUGGAUGUGAUAGUUCCACUGAGUUAAAAAUUACCUCUCGCAUAAAAUGAACAUUAAAAAGAAAAGUUAUUUCUACUGUGAAUUAAUAAGCAGCAGUUCAAUUUCACUGCUUUUGUUCUUUGCUUGUACAGCAUCAGCGAAAGGUCCAUGAUUGCAGCUCUUGAUCUGUGCCUAAUAAAUAAUAUUCUUUUUGUUGUAUCUCAUUCCUACCCUUUAUCUCUUUAUUUGGACCCCUAUCCGGCACACCACUUAAGCAUUAGUGUACUCCCACUGAAGUUCAGUUUUUACAAAUAGAAGUCAAGAACCUUUUUUCAAAAAUUAAAUCUUAUUUUAUGUUGAAAACAAUAGGAAUGCUACAAGACAUCACAGACCUUAAAUCCAUGUUAGAGCUUUUUUCUGUGAAAUUGUACUUAUCUUCUCUGGUGCUCAUGACCUUGGUGUUAUCUUUUAAGCAUGCUGCCAGUCACGCAGGAAUCUAACAUUGUGAGCAGUCUAGGUCCAGCUGCAGUAUAAAGCAUGAAGCAACAGUAAUACAUUUCUCAAUAUCAACAAAACAACAGAGGCUGGUGAUGCUUCUAGCGGGAAAUACUCUAUGUUAAAUAAAGUAGGCUCUGAGGACAGAUA
This is a long non-coding RNA of Dermochelys coriacea (leatherback sea turtle), 1346 nucleotides long. RefSeq lists it as uncharacterized. The transcript has 2 exons. NCBI's taxonomy places the organism in Eukaryota, Metazoa, Chordata, Testudines, Dermochelyidae. The record is from RefSeq and is a predicted model, not a curated record.